UUGUAUUUUAUUCUGGUAAGA
Non-coding RNA from Caenorhabditis elegans, 21 nucleotides. NCBI's taxonomy places the organism in Eukaryota, Metazoa, Nematoda, Chromadorea, Rhabditida, Rhabditidae. The record is from Ensembl.